CCUACGGGUGGCAGCAGUCGAGAAUCAUUCACAAUGGGGGAAACCCUGAUGGUGCGACGCCGCGUGGGGGAAUGAAGGUCUUCGGAUUGUAAACCCCUGUCAUGUGGGAGCAAAUUAAAAAGAUAGUACCACAAGAGGAAGAGACGGCUAACUCUGUGCCAGCAGCCGCGGUAAUACAGAGGUCUCAAGCGGUGUUCGGAAUCACUGGGCGUAAAGCGUGCGUAGGCUGUUUCGUAAGUCGUGUGUGAAAGGCGCGGGCUCAACCCGCGGACCGCACAUGAUACUGCGAGACUAAAGUAAUGGAGGGGGAAACGGAAGUCCAGGUGUAGCAGUGAAAGGCGGAGAUAGCGAGAGGAACACUAGGGGCGAAGGGGGGUUUCUGGAUCUUAACUGACGCUGAGGCACGAAGGCCAGGGGAGCGAAAGGGAUUAGAUACCCUGGUAGUC
RNAcentral lists this ribosomal RNA (446 nucleotides) under uncultured bacterium. Its description in RNAcentral is "partial 16S ribosomal RNA". It matches the Rfam family "Bacterial small subunit ribosomal RNA", at positions 338 to 795 of the family's 1533-position model. The record is from RNAcentral.